GGAGAAGGAAGGCGGGAGUGGCUGAGAAAUGGCGCCUUGAGUGGUUGUUGCCACUGCGUGCCUCAAAGACAGUCAUCCAGACUUAUUCAGCCCAUUACGCCUACACUAUUGGUUCUGUUGUGAAGCCGUGCUGCCGCGACUUGGCGUGAAGGGGAGACAGGCUGCUUAACUUCCAAGAUCCGAGAGGAACCUUUGCUGCCCAGGCAUGGUGUGAACGUGAGCACCACCAGAGGGUGUUAUGAGAACCUGUGUUCUGCUUUGAAAUGAGCUCUAUGAUCAAUCCAGUCCUUUUUCCUGGGACUGGGAGAGAAGCCAUCGUGAAGUGGGGAUUGGCCUCUUCUCCAGGUAACUACUGAUAGAAUUAGAGGUAACGGGUUUAAGUUAUGCCAGGAGAGUUGCAGCUUGGAUAUUAGGAAACAGAAAGAGUGGUGAAGCAUUGGAUUAGGCUGCCCAGCGAGGUGGUGGAGUCCCUGGAGGUGUUCAAGAAACGUGUAGAUGUGGCCCUGAGGGACAGGUUUAAUAGGCACGGUGGGGAUGUGUCGAGAACUGGACUAGGUGAUCUUAGAGGUCUUUUCCAACCGUAUUGAUUCUAUGCUUCUACACUUCUAAUUUAGACACACUAAUAAGAAAUUGGAGAAGAUAAUACUGAUAAAUAAUACUCAUUAUUUUUUUCAAGUCCAAAAAUUACAGUAAUUUAAAAUAUUUAGUAUUGCUUUUAGAACAUGAAGAUAAUCAGUCCUGCAGAAAAUAUAAAAAAGAAUUAAUACCUAGAAGAUAAAGCACCUAAAGAACACAGUAGUAAAUGUUAAUCAGGAAGCAUUUUAUGGAAAGACAGAUGAGCCAUGUACCUCUCACAGUCGUAAAUAUUCUUUGUGAUUACGGUUUUCUUUGUUCUCUCCUAGAGAAGGUUCCUAUAUUUGUUUAUUGCAGUCUAUUUAUAGACUUAAUGGAACCAGGUGAAGCAAGAAUAAAUAUUUUCCUGAUGAAUGGGGAUGUUUAAACCUCAUAUAAUACAACCGGACAACGCUUCUCAAUGUGCUGAUUGUAAAAAUAGCACAAUCCUUAUUUGCUGAUAGAUUCAACUGUUGUCAGGAGCCAUUUGUCAGAGGUGAAGGAAGAAGACUGCAGGUUGUAUCUGCCUUUUUUUUUUUGAAAGCUUUAUCAUAUUUUUCUGUUGUAUUUUACAAGCAGUGGGGGAUGGUUACAAGUUAAUGAGAUAUUGGAAGUAUUUCAAACAAGUGGUACGAGUUUCAGUAUCAAAACUAAUAACAGGUAUUGAUUACAGAUAACAGGUAUUGCUGCAGUGAAAGAUGCAUGUAAGAAAUGUUUUUACAUCAACAUUACAGGUUUGGUUAUAAACAUCCCCUCUCUAACAAGACUUGUAUCUAAAAUGCUAGUUGAUGUUUAGUUGCAUCUGAAUGACCUCUGAUUAAAGAAUACUAAUGGGCCUCUUUCACCGUUGAAUUUACUUGUGCAGUCAGCUAUACAUGUAGGAAAUAAGCCAUCAGAGUAUGGCAAACAUUUCUGGAAAAGUGGUUUCCAGUAUUCUUUGGCAGGUUUGUGAGCGUGCAGAGUGAAUGGGCAGUUUGCAAAGCAGGCACAUUUUUUUUAAUGUCUUUUAUUCAUCAGCUGUAUAUAUGUUACAAAUACAUAUUUUUGUGAUUGACUUAUAUGCAGUGAUUACACAGCAAUUAUUGAUAGAUACAUAAAUACAUAAAGAACAAAGAGUUGUUUUACAAAAACUUAUGAUGCACAUGAUUUUAUCAGCUCUAGUAUUGAAUGGACUUUUUGUUUCACGUGGAAGUUUAUCUAUUAAGUGACUGAUAUGACUGACUGACAAGAAUGGGAAAACCUUUAUAGAGAAGACCAAUAAAAAUGCAUUCGUUUUCAUGUAUGUACACUGUUAUUUGCAUUAUAUCAGUAAUCUGGAUGAAACCCCUGCAUAUUUUCAUGGCAGAAAUAACUGCCAGAGAAGGGUGUCUGCAAGAUUUCUCCAGGACAGUGAUAACACGUGACAUAAUGGAUUGUGCACAGUCCAAACCUCUGUCAGACAGGCUUCCAAAGAAACUGAAGUUUCUGCAGCAGAGGCUACGGAAUAAAGGCCUUUGACUCGAUCAGCUCACAGCUGUUUCUAGUGUUAGGUAAGAACCUAUACCAAGCUAGAGUUUCAUUUCACAUUUCACAUUGCACCUUUCCCUGUCCUUGGUAAAUAGCUUUUCUAAAUACUUGUGAAAUAAAUGUUUUGUUUAGAAAGCUACAGCUCAGAGAAUAUUGAAGAUGUUGAUACAGCUCAUAAACUGUGCCAGUCCAGGCAGAAAUAUAAUUUAAGAAACUCAUCUUUUGCCUUCCAGUCUGAUCCUUUUUAAUGCCAUAUUAGAUUGUUAUUUACAGCUGUUUUUUUUCAGUAAGAUAGGAGCAAUUCUUUACCAGCAGCACAACAGGUAUUUAUUUGGCACGCAUUAAGAGGUACGGUAGAAAAAAAAUGGAUUUGUUGCACAUUCUUGUUAAAAUCUGAGCUUGUAACAUCUACUUAUUAAAUAUCAGUGCAAUCAGCUAGUGACACUGAUCCAUGGAAAACAUCACAAAGUGAAAAGCUAGCUUAUUUUGGUGUUCUCCUACAUGAUAAAUCUUGUAUAUUUUUUAAAACAUAUUUUUCCAUGCACCUUUUCUUCUCUAAAAUGAAAUUUCUAACGCCAUGGCUUGUCACUACUGUUUUGCCAGCCUGUUUAAAACUAAUUCCUAAAAUCUUUGCAAAGCACUCUGCUUUUCUGCCUCCUACCGCACUUUUAUAUGUUUUAACUUACAGGAAUACUGUUCAGCACAUCUCUUUUAAGUUACUUUCAAAGUAUGUUGUUAAAUAUACAACUGUAACGGCUCCUGAACUGAAAGUGGCUGUGUGUUUUGGUGGGCUUUCAAAAUAUUCUGCACAAAACACAGAUGUGACACAUCAAGUAUACAGCUUUGCCACACAGGUCUCCAAAACAUACAGUCAGUUUUUUACAUUCAUGUGAAUUUUAGCACGGUUGUUCCAAACAGCCAAUUCAACUCUCUUUCACAGGGUGCAGUGAAAGUAGUACAGUUUGGAUACUCAUAAGCAACCUAUUUAAUUCUGUAUUUCUCAUUCCCCAGUUUGAAAAACAAAACAAGACAAAAAAAUGUUUAUUAUUUCUGUGUUUAAUAAUAUUUUUUUCUUUAAUCUGGAGUUAAGCUUACCUUGAGCUUUUGCUUCUCAUUCUUAAACGUAUUUUUUAAAGCAUUCUGAAUGUAAUGCUUCUCAGAGUUGCUGUUUUGGAAUCUACAGGGUUUGUAGCAAUAUGUUGAAUAACUAAACUGAAAACUAAGGACAGAUGCCAUUGCAGAUUUCUUCAUGCUUUCCCACUGACCUACCUUUAACUGCAUCGGAGGCACUUCUGCAUUUUAGCACACGCUGUCAUCAACUUUGUCACGUUCUAAGAGCUUCCAAAACAUACUUGGUGCUGUCUAAAUCCUGAGAGGUGACAGGUAAAACAGACAAACGUAUCCUGAAAAAAAAGUGUAGUUCAAUUGAGUUGAGUUUCACUGUUGAUAGCAUCAUGGUUAAACACUGCAGUGUUCCUUCCAUAAUCCAGAUCCAGAUUUCUUACUGCAGCUCGAGUUCUACAUUUUGAAUUACACCAUCCCAGCAAUGAUGAACAAUUCUUCUGCUAACAAGUUGCUGAAACUACCAGCAGAGAUGUCAGCUAAAAGAUGCACAGUUGUAGCACUACUAGUAGCAGUGAGAACAUAAACUAACAGACAUUUUUUGAUGCUUCUUAGCACUCAUCACAACAAAAUCCAACUCUUCAAAAUUUAAUUGCAUCUCAAAUUUCUAUUGAGCUGAUUACAUUUAGGAUAUUAACUGCAGCUAGAAUGUAAAAUGUCAUGCAGCAGUUACGAAUCUCUAAGAUUUUAACUGCAAUCUUUUCAUCUUCAUAAAAAAAGUUAUUUUCACAGUACUGAUGAAUUUCUUAGCAGGAAAAUGUUUUUAUUUAUCUUCAUAUUUAUUGGCAAAUGAGGUAUUAACCUCAGCAUCUAUGUAUAUAAACACAAAAUGUAGCACUUUAUUUACCCAAAUACCAAUUGUUUUGUAAUGCUUCUAACAGUAGCCACACACACUUCUAACAGUGAGAAUCCAUGGGACUUACCCAUUCGCACCUACAAAGGAAACUGCUGGAGAAGGGAACCACUACAUGCUGUGCUGCAUCUUGCAUGGUACAGGUUAGCUGCAAAUAUGAAAAUAUGGCUUCUCACACCUGUUUAACAAGUUUAGCAGAACAGACAGAUUAAUUGUAACUACAAAAAAUAAAACAAAAUCCAACUGUACUGCCAAGCUGGCAUAAAACUGGAAUGUAUGCUAUUAUCACACUUGCUUAGGAGCAGAAAUUCUCGUAAGUACAGUUGGUUAUUUGGGUGUCACAAAACUUGUAUGGAGAUUCCUCUGGCUGGAGGAUUUAGUUAUUGAACUUACGCAGAGUUAAGCCUUACUCCUCUUGGUUUCAGAAAACAGUACUUAGUCAAAAUCCAGUUGUCUCAGAAAUCAGCUAAAAUUUUCUGAUGUUCUUAGUAAUAAUUGGACCAUCUCCCAGCAUUAAGAACAUGAAUAUUCAUUAAAAUAGAAGCUGCAGUUCAGUUAAUGAUAAUAAUCUGUUUUUUUCCUGACUGCACAGUUCUUUUCAGUGCUUCGGAUAAUCGAGGAGAAACAGCAAAGGGAAACUAUUACUUAACAGUAAGACUUUCAGGUUGCAAUAAUGUACUGAAAAUCAAGGGGCAAUGUUUUGCACUGUAAAAUGUCUUAAUUUUUAAUGCUUUUGGUUUGCUGUAUUAAAAAUUACUACUGGAAGUUACAGUAAUUUCUUGAUAUUAAGUUGCCAUCCUUGUGAGGUUAGAAAUCCAAGGGGAACAACCUGUGAGGGCCAGAGCCAGAAGAGAUGUUACAAGGCAAAUCUCACAGAACAUCCACAGCUGGUCAAGAACAAACCAUUGAUUAUGACUCCAUCUUGGGAAUAAAUCAGCCAGCAGGGCUUUCUGAGAGGUGCAAAAAGUUAGCAAUCCCUUGCUUUCCAGGAGUGAAAAUGAAGGCUAUUACUACAGCAAUAUGGAGGAAAGUGCUUAAGCCAUCCAUUGUAUUGACUCCAGUGUCACCACCACGAAUGCAAAUGCAUUUUGAUGACUUGAGCAAUCUGAGAAGGUAAACAGGAGAGGAAUAUACUGACCACCCUGCAAUUCCUCCCUUCAGAUUUAACCACACAGAAGCACAUGGGUGAAAUAUUUGGUUUCAGCUCACGCCAUACAAUUCUUUUGAGAAAAAAGGGACGGUAAACUUAGAAAGUCUCAAAUAGUUAGGAACACACCCAUCACAUACACAUUUGACUUCAGGAGAUAAAAGACUGUCACACAGAAUAAAGAAUGAUACGAUCGGUUUAACUCAAACUUGUGAGAUGAGCUACACGACAAAAAGCAGUAAAUGAAGCAAUACUUAGACCGUGCCCGAGGAUAUGCAGAAAGAGGGUGUGGGAAAGAAAGCUGGCAGUUUAUGUCAAAGAUGCAUCUAUCUCAUAAAAUUAAAUAGUGCAAUAAAAAGGUUCACAAUUGAAGCCAUUUAUCUCAUUAGAAAAAUAGUAUUUUUUAUUCAGAGGUAUUUUCUGAACAUUUAUCCUUAUGAGAACUGUUACCAUGGGUGACAUCAGCCUGAGACACAAUGCUGACAUUCCUGUGGAUGGAAGACUAAAGAGUCACUGGGUACUUAAACAGAUCAGGAUGAGGUUUAUUUUUACAAAGCACCUGUCAGUGCAACUAAAUGGACAAAUGUAGAAGUGAAAAACAUUAAUGAGAACAAGAAAUUACUCAUAUUCCCCUUACGCUUCUUGAACAAGCAAAAGCUUUUCAUGUGCCAAGAAAAUAACACUGGCCAAGAAGGUACUCUGGUGAAAAGAUGACACAAUAAAUAAGAUUUGAUGGGUUAAUGGCUGGGGGCAGGGAGGGGAUACAUCAACAAGUAUGUUAUGAACCCAAAAACAAAUACAGAAUAAGAAUUACAAAAUGGUCCGGGUUGGAAGGGACCUCAGGGAUCAUGAAUCUUCAACCCCUCUCACCACAUGCUGGGCCACCAACCUCUGCAUUCAAUACUAAACCAGGCUGCCCAGGGCCCCCAUCCAAUCUGGCCUUGAACACUUCAGGGAUGGGGCAUCCACAGCUUCUGUGGGCAGCCUGUUCAGAAUCUGUGUAACCCAAAACAAUCAACAGUUUUCAAAAUUACUAAGCUUACAGAAUUAAAAAACAACAACAACAACAACAAAAAGCCCAACAAUUUGCAGCAAAUGGGGAACAUCUGUCAAAAGGAAGAAUUUCACAUCAACAAGGGUGUAUAAUUAACAACAACAAAAACAAUUAACUGAAAAUUACCUUUGCCAAACUAGCUACAUGUCAUACAAUCAGCUGAAUGCAAGAGUGAAAUAUUGCCAAAAAAUAAGGCAACAGAAUCCAAAACAGUGAAUAAUUUGAUAAGAGUAACUUUGAGCCAGUUAAUUGGAGAGCUCUCUUUAGAGAAACAAUGGAUGCAUUAUCUGAUCAACAAAGGAGGUGCUAACAAGGAAAAGCUGGCCAGCAUCAUGGCAAAAAGGUAUUGUCAAAAACAUGACCUGGCUCACAAAGGAAGGAAGCAAAAAAGACAAACAAAAUUAAAUAAAUAAAUGUACAACAUGGAAUGAUUGCCAUCUUCUUCUCUUCCACUGUAUCAGCCCACAACAUUUGGUCUCCUUUCCAAUGAAAAACAGGGAACAUCGCAAAUAAGAGAAGCCCCUUCUCUUGUGAUGCAUUCCACUGCUGCACCGUUCCCUCAUUAAACAGCACUAAGCGUAGCGUCAAGUUCAGCCAGCAAAGCAGGAGGGAAAAAUGAUUUCAUGCAAAUAAAGUCUUAAAUCAUCCUAUGCACUGAAACAAUAUUAAAACACUGUUUUAGAACUCAAGAUUAAAGAGAGAGAGAGAGAAAAAAAAAGAAGAGACGACCAGAGUUACUUUCAAACAUUUUUCAUGGCAGAUUUUUAAACCAGGGUCUUUGACAGAUAGAGCUGUUGAAGAACAGACAGUGGCAGAAAAAAAAUCGUGGCAGAGGACUGAAAGGGAAGAUUUUUCAAGCAGUCUCAUGAAGGCAAGUCAAGACCACAGUCUCUCUCUCUCUGCUAUUUUACCUCACCCCUUCCCUUCUUGGUAAUGGAUGUUGUCCUGAUCUGAGGCAUUAAUCCUGACAUGAAUGCUUCAUUAUGGAAAACUUAAAGGAUUAUGAUUUAGGCUUCUGGCACUUUGAGGCCCAAGUGUGUAAAUGCAUGUUAUUUCAGAGCCUCUGAUUCUAUGCAUUUGAUAGAUUUGAUGGAACCAUCUUUCUCCCAGCUCAGACUAACACCAAAGGCUGGCUUCAGUUCUCAUUUUUUGUCGUUUCAAAGUAUGCCUUCAUGCUAGGUUACAAAUGUAACCAUUAAGUCAUGGAACCUAGGUUCAAGCUUGAAAUGCAGAGGGUACGAUUGAAUGUACUAGGCAAUUAACACUGGGAAGAUUGUAAAAUAUAGCUAAAGACACAAGAAUGAUGCUAUAUAAGGACAUCCAACUUUUCUUGUUACUAUGACGUUGGCUAUCCUUAACACAGCACUAUGAAUGAUAGCGACACAAGACAUUUUUAAAGAUUUGUUUAGCUUAGUAAUCUCUGAAGUCCUGAAAUCCAGGCACGCUGCACUAAAUAUUACAAAGUAUACAGCAGAGUGUUUAAAGCUUAAAAAUAUUUUAUUUACACUUCUCUUUAUACACAUUUUUAUACAAUUUUUUUUUUCAGUUUAAAAACUGAACAGAGCACAAAUGCAAGUCUGAGCAUACUGUACCCACAGCUAGGGAAAAUUACCUUCUGCCAAAAAGAGACAAGAGAAAAGGCUUUUUAAAACAGUUUAAAAGAGGCAAUCAUAAAUUUUUUCAGAUAAGUAUAUAGCAGCCCUGAUGUAGUCAUUAGACAGUUAAUCCAAAUGUACAUAUGAGGUCACAUAUAUAUUUAUAUAUAUAUAUAACAUUAAUUUUAUAUAGGAAAAGUAUUUCCAAUUGCUAGACAUAAACACAGCAGACUUCGAAAAUAACUUUUCCUGUUAUCAAAUACAUUCCUUUCAAUACAAAGAAUCUGAUAUUGUACACUAGAAACAAGUGGGAUACUAUAGCAGAAUUGCAUUCUCCAGCAUAUAAUAAUAUACUUUAAAAAGAUCUAAAAAAAUAACAAUAUAUAGGGAAAAAUAUUUAAAAUUAAAAAACAUAGCUCAAUCUUCCCUUCACCUGUUCCCAUAACUGAUGUAGAAGUUAGGUGGGUUCCACUGAGGUAAUAAAAGCCCCCUAAGCACAGCUGCAGUACAGUCCUACAUAACACUGUAUCUCCUAGACUUACAGCAAAGCUUUCUCUACCGGACCCAUAAAUUAAAUCUACCAUCUGCAAAUAGAAGUGGUUUUCCCCUAGCUACCAACUCAAUAUUAAUCCAAAGGUAUCUGACCAAGGAAAGCUAUUUUAAAAGACUAUCUAAAUGUUAAUUCUAAUUUGGGGAAAAAAAAAAUAGUAGCGAUCUAGUGAAGCUUUGCACAAAGAAGUAGGUUUUUCUGCCACCUGCCACAUGACUGCUUUUAUAAUGUUUGCCUACAGAAAGGGAAAGUCUAAAUUGUUUACAAACAUCCAAACAUAGAAUACAGAUGCAAACGUAGUCAUUAAUAUUUAUUUUAAGCAGCUUCAAAUUGCUUUACAAACAUGAAAACCUCAAAAUGUUAGCUACAGGACACUGGCAAGCUCUGUUCUAAACGGAUUACAUGCAUCUCUCCACUCUGUUCUCUCCCACAUUCCUUCAGUGCACCCUGCCACAUGGGACAGACCAUACUGACUGAAGUAACUUCACCAGGUAUUUGUUACUAAAUGAAGAACAGGCUGGAUGUUUUCUUUCAUUACCAAACCCCUGUAAGCACUUAGGCACACAUUUAAUCAUGUUUGUGCCUUUAUGCUUUCUUUUACGUAACUUAGAGCUUUAUGAAUUCUUUAUACGGGACUCUUCACGUGUGUAAAGUCCACAUUUGAAGCAUUAAAAAGAAUGAGGGGCCCAAUUCACUACUUUUCUAAUGAAAAAUACCUUUAAAAGGCAAAUGUGAUCUACAAAUGUGAUUGUCUCUAUUUCUAAAAAGACCUUGUCAUUUACAAAGGUGAAAGAAAUUUAUUUUUAGGGUAAUUUGCAUCUCCCUAUAAUGCUUACCUUCAUUUCACGAAAGAACAGACAUAAUGAGCUAAGCAGUGCUUUUCUUUUCCUUUUUUCAUUUGUACCUGUUGAAUGUUAUCCUUCAGUUCCUGAGCACCAGUGCUUCGUUCUUGACGCAAAUAUGUACUGUAUUAUCGGCAGGAAAAAAGGCAGCCCUUGUGUUUGUAAGGCAGGAGGUCUGUAAGAAAUAAUGGCUGCAAACCUCGGAGACCAGAGAAAUAUUGAAGUCACAAACCCUUAGAACUAGUAUGAACUGCCACACUGCAGAAAGUGGGGCAUCCCUAUGUUUCAAAGGAGGUAACAAAAGCAGGUUGCCAGGUACGUGACACACAGCUACUAGCCCCUCUCGCUGGCAGUGCUUUCUGAAAGAGCAGAUCCUUAGAAAAACUACAUACUGCCUCCCUGCAGUUGAAUCAAAGGGGAAAGAAUUUCAAAAGGGUUUUUUUCAGCCUAAUACCUCCCACUGUGAAACCACUGCCAACACCUCGUGGGGAAAAAGUAAGCUAUUUUUUCCUUAUGUAGUAGUCUGCAAAGAAUUAUCUGUUCCAUUACAACAGACAUAGCAGCAAGCUGAAUGGCAACAGGCAGCGUUCAGCCAACUCACAGAAGCACUAUGCUUUUUAUCCAUUCUGGAUCAUUUGGAAAUAAAACUCCUUCCUGGAGUUAGAUGCUAAAUUAAGAAGUGAAGCCGAUAAUUUUUUGCUAUGAGCGUGAAUAAACUAGACUGUAACUCACUAUGUCCACCUUUUCUUAAGGAAAGGCAAGUACGCUUGCAAUUUUAAAGGAGGUCAUAUGUUAAAUUUUAAAUAUCUAGGCAAGACCAGAUUUGCAAGUGUUGUAGGAAGGACGGAGUGGAAAUAGACAAAACCCCCCUCAAACUUCCCAAUCAAAAAUUGCAACUUACCUUCUUCUUGACAAAUGAAAGAUGCUUUUAAAAUCCUCCCUCUUUUACCCAGUUUACUUUUGUUUUUAUUUUAACACUUAACAAUCUAGGGCUAAAACUUUCAAUAAAACAGAAGAUACCCCUGUGACAUAGAACACAACGAUAACUGCCUCACAAGUUCCACUGCAGUGGAAAAGAGAACAGAAGCCUCAAAUUCAUGCUUGAAACAAUAAAAACAUGGUAGAAAUGUGAAUUAACAAAACAUUCUCACAUACCCCUGUGUUACACCCAGCUUCUUGAAGACAAGACUGCAUGGAGGCCCUAACCAACAGUUCAAGCUAGAAUUUCACAAUUCUGAACAAUAUCUUUCAGAUCUGAACAGCUGGAGAUGAACAGGAACUUAAAAGCAGAGCAUCUAAAAAUGAUCUGGUUCUUAAUGCUUCAAGUAUCAAUACACACCAAAGCCUUCACUAGCAGUUGCUUUGCCGACGAAACUCAGAAGUUGCUUAAAUACAGACCUGAAACAUAACUUGAAACACUUCCAUCGUUACCAUGACUUCUAAUUAAGUCUUAAGUAACAUCCAUUUACUACACCUGAAUCAUGGAAAACCAGAUUCCCAGAACCACAUCCAUUUCCCAGACAAGCCCUUGUGGUAUAUUACUGUAUGCUACAAGGGCUGCUCCAAAAGUAAUGCCUCCUGUUUUAUUAUGGUGGCCUACAACAUCAGAGGUGGAUGUUGGUGGUAUGGCAGUAGAUUCUGAACCUUCCCACCCAUAUUCCAUUCCCUUUUGUUGCUGUGUGACAGAUGGCUGCAUAGGGACAGCGUGACACAAUGAUGUCUAACAUGGAAGUGCAGGUGAAAUAAUGGUGUGGAAUUGAAUUCCUCCACGUGGAAAAAAUGGCACCUACUGAUGUACAACACUCACAGAAUGUUUCUGGAGAUCCAACAGUGGAUGUGAGCACAGUGAAGUGGUAGGUGGUGGAUUUUAGCAGUGGUGACAGUGACACUGAAGAUAAGCCACAUCCCAGAUGGCUGCUCACAGAUGUCACACUACAAGAUUUAUCCACGUGAAUCAGCAGAUUGUAAUCAGGAAACUGUAUAGGAUAAGCGUCUACUUUAAUGUGUUGGAAAUAAUGUUGAAAUAUCACAAAGCUUGCACUGAGUGCCAGAAACGCUCACACAGGAACAGAAAGAACACUGUAUGAAAGUUUGUCAGGACCUACUGAGGCUGAAGGUGACAGUUUCCUCAACUGCACCAUUACCAGUGAUGAGAUGUGGUGUCAGCACUGAGUGACUGAGUCAAAAAUGCAGUCCUUGGAGCAGCAAGAUGUGAAUUUUCUAUCAAAGAAAAAGACAAGACACAGCUCUCAGCAAGUACAGUAAUGCCUUUUGGGAUAGGAAAGGCGAUCUGUCUGGAUUUCCUGGAAACUGGACAAACCAUCAACUCUGACCCAUACAUCAUGAUGCAGACUAAGCUGAAGGCUCUAACUUCCAGAGUCAGGCCAGAGAAGAAGACAAUCUUUCUCCUGUUACACAAUAACUCCAGGCCCCAUACAUGUUUGAAGACCAUGGAUCACACUGCCAAUCUUGGCUGGACUGUCCUACCACACCCACUGUGUAGUCUGCAUUUGGGGCCUUCUGAUUUCCAUCUGUUCAAGCUGAAGAAAGAUGGACAGCAUAGGCAACAUUUUCAAUGCUGGGGAACAGUGGGUCACCACCAGUGGGGGACACAAACUUUUAUAAUUGUGGCAUGCACGCUCUUGUUCAUUACAGUUGAGAAUGCAGAGCUAAUGGUGGCGACUGUGGUGAAAAGUAGUUUUGUAGCUCAGAAUUUGCUCUAUCAAAAUGUUAUUGUGCUCCUUGCAUAUGUUGUAGUUUCCAUGAAUAUAAACAGGAGGCACUACUUUCAGAGUGAGCUACAUAUUAUUAAGUCCCCUUGAAGCUUGCUCAAGCAGGAUUAGAUUUUUGCUGCCCCACACAUUUAUUAAGAAAUGAGGUUGUGACAAAAAGAGUAAGAAUAGUAAAGAAAAAGGUUUUGGCUUUUUUUUGUGCCCUAAUACUCUUUGAGAUAGAUACAGAAGAACCUUUUUACUUGCACACAGCCAGCACCUACUGGAAUCAGGUCAUCUCUGCACCUACAAAGGACAAUGUACGCACAAGUCUCACAGUAGAACUGAGGUUUUAGUGUAAAUAAAGUUGGCUUUAAGUUAGACUACUAGGAAAGUAAAUGAUAUUUCUCACUCAGUAAAGACUUAAAUUUAAAAGCAACCCUUAGUCUACAUGAGAAGGCUGAAAAUCAAUAUUUGGUCCAGUCACUACCGGCAUAGAUAACAUUAAUACAGCUGUGAUGGCAUAAAUUAUCCUUCCUGUUAACUUAUAGAAAGAAAAUGCUCAGUAAGUCAUUUUUAAGAAAAAAAAAUCUACUGAUCUGAUUUAGAUUAACACAUCUCAACCCAGAACAUAAUUACUACAAAGAUAUCACAAAUUAUAUAGAUGAGGAGUUGUAUACAUUGUUUUCACUUCUGUUGAUGAUUUAAAAUUCAGUUUAGGUAAGUAGAUGUUAUUUUUAACACAGGACAUUUUGCAGUGAUUUUGGUCCUUCUGCAAGUGCAUUCUUCUGAACUCCCUGAGUACUGUACAUUCCUCUUCUACAGUGAUUUUCAACUAGAAGAUGCUGAAUAAAGUCGAUUUGCAGUGCUGUCUAUUAAGUCUACUGCUUAAAGAAAAGCAAAGUAGCAUAAGACUUUAUAGAAGAUGCAAAUGCAUGUUUCAGUAUUUUCUCCCUACACUCCUGAAUCAAGUGUAAGCCUAUGAGUUACCCAAAUUUCUCCUUCAGAUUCUAUUGACGAUUGUUUUUACAACAUUAAAGAAAGUAAGAAUUGAAUUGUCAUUAUUUAUACCUUGGCAAAUCAUUCUUACUGAUAUCUGCAAGUUAACACAAUGGAGUUAUUAAAAGCCCUCAGGAACAGCACAUUUCAUUUCAGGCACUAUGAGGUCAGUAGCUACAGCCAUGAAAUUUGUUAUUUUUUUUUGUAGAAACACAAAUGGUAGUAGCCAUCCAAACACCUAACUCAAAACACAGUAGUUCACAGCAGCAAAUAAUUAAAAAAAAAACCCUACUAUUAAUAAAAGAUUUAUCACUUCUAUACGAGUACAAGCAAAGCCACUGCUGAGAAUACACUAUAGUACAUCCAGUUCUGAAAAUACCUGUGGGUCAAAGCAGUGCUGGUGAGCAUUCGCUUACUGACACUUUCCAUUUUCAUAAAAAACAAGACUGGUAGCACAUUCAUACAUAAAACAAACUCAGGUAAGAUGUAUUUAGUUUUUUAAAAUAAUUUAUAAAACAACAAAUUAUUAAGAGUUCGUUACGUAAAGUCAGUAUAAGGAUUUUAAAGUUACUGAAUCAAUCAGUAUAUGCUAAAGAUACUUUGAUACCAAAUGAUGCUUCCAGUUAUGUAAGAACUUUGACUUACUUAGCUCAUUAAUGGAUAAAACUACACCUUAAAUUUAACAGAUAUGGCUGAAUUUGUGCACUGGUUUAAAUAUAGCUGCAUGUAAAAAGGUUGUUUUUUGUUUUUUUACAAUGUAUAUGCAUGUACAUACUUUACUUACCAACAAACAUAAUGCAGACAACAGAAGGCAGCACAGAAAUAGUGUUUUAAAUAAUAAUAUUUUUAAAAAGUUAAAGUUUUUUCAAUUCAGUAGAAAAUGUGUAAUUCACAUUUUGGCAGACUUACCAGUACUAAUAUACAAAACUUGGAAAAAAACACAUGCAAAGAGACUGGAGGUUAUACUUAACAGUAUUUAAGGGAAAACAGAAACACCUUGCAGAUGUGAGAGUACUGUGCAGUUAAUGGGAAGAGCAUCCAAACACAACAUAAAACACAAAAAUGGUUUUAGCUUUGUUCUUUUAAACUUAAUUGUAUCCUACUACAGCUUAUGAGUUCUACUUUGAUGCUCAAUAAAAAAAGAGAAUCAGGUCUUUCUUCCUUCCACAAAUGUUUUGUUAAACUCAAUUGAUUUCAGAAGAAAUCUGGUACCGUGGCCACAGGAAAACAAACAAAAAACAAAAAAUCAAACAAGUAUGGACAUGAAAUGCUAUCAAAAGAAUAAGCACACCCCAAAAUAUAUAUUUUCUUUCCCCUGUUUACAACUGCAUUUGUUAAAACAAAACAAAAACAA
Lagopus muta (rock ptarmigan) is the source of this 14345-nucleotide long non-coding RNA. RefSeq lists it as uncharacterized. The record is from RefSeq and is a predicted model, not a curated record. Lineage: Eukaryota; Metazoa; Chordata; Aves; Galliformes; Phasianidae. The transcript has 2 exons.